Molecule: ribosomal RNA, 253 nt
Filed under: uncultured bacterium
Lineage: Bacteria
Description: partial 16S ribosomal RNA
Rfam family: Bacterial small subunit ribosomal RNA
Source: RNAcentral
GACAGAGGGUGCAAACGUUGUUCGGAAUGACUGGGCGUAAGGGGCGCGUAGGCGGCUCGUGAAGUCGGGUGUGAAAGCCCGGGGCUCAACCCCGGAACGGCAUCCGAUACUGGCGGGCUUGAGACCGGGAGAGGAGGGUGGAAUACCCAGUGUAGAGGUGAAAUUCGUAGAUAUUGGGUGGAACACCGGUGGCGAAAGCGGCUCUCUGGCCCGGAUCUGACGCUGAGGCGCGAAAGCGUGGGGAGCAAACAGG